AUUUCUUGUAAGGAGAUGAAGACCAGCCCAAGGAUUACAGCACCACGCUGCUUGUGAUCAUACCCACACCUGGCCCUGAUCCCCACUCCUCUGGCUCACCAGCUGAACACCAACUUGAUCAAUGAAUUUUUGCCAAGCUUGCCACCCCUUUGGGGACUCUUAUUCUCCUAGCUGGAGGCUUGUGCCCCUGUUUGAGCACAUCUGGGUUACAGCAACUGGAUAAUAACCAGGAAGAUUCAGUCUCCAGAUUACUUCUGGGUGCCAGCCAAAACUUCAAAAGACAGAGCAAAGCAUAAUCCAAAUGGCAUGGGAUAGCAUAUGCCCUUCUGGAUCCACUAACUGCACAUUUCCUGGCACACAUCAGUGGGAGUUUUGAGGCUUCAUACCUGGUGCUGCAAAUAUCUGAUUACAAGCCAUAAUGCUAUGGCUCCUAAAGGAAGCCUUGUGUGCUCCAAGAAGGCAGGAACAUGUUACAGACAGGAUAGAACAAUGGAGUAAAAUUUUGUGGAGCUCACACCUGCAGGGCAUGUGAACGAAGCCUUUGCUUGGGUUCAGGUAGGAGCACCAAGCCUCAGGUAAGUGGAAUUCAACAGCAUUAGGAUACUGGGCUGAGCCUUAUGAGAAUCUAUGGUAAUCUGCUGUAUUUUGGAGGAGAUUUUCAAGUAUUUGGGUCAUUUCUCUAUAUUAACUCUUAUCAAGGAGCAACUUUCCAAUCUCCUCACAGAAGGAAGGUUUUCCUUUUUGCAGCUUCUCUUUGUUGCCAGAUGAAAACAAAUUGGAUUUAUGGCUCUCACUAAAGGUUGUGAAGAAGCCAAGUGAUUUGAAAGGGAAAAGGAAAAUAACUUGUAAAAAGAAAUGCUUUUAAUUAAAAAAAUGUUUUGAAGUAUUGCAUAAAGAACCAUUAAUUGUUGCUUCAGCAAUUAUGUGAUAUUAUAUCCGUAUGGAAGUUAUUUGCUGUUACUUCAAGCCUAUGGUAGGUUAUUUGCUCUAGGCUCUUUUUCUUUUUUUUUCCCACUUUUUUAGAAGGAGUAAAUUAAACUACCUCAAGAAGAGGAAUUUUUCUAUUUCCUGUUAAUUUUCUUCUUCCUUUUUCUUUCCUUUAUUUUUUUCUUUUUAGGACAGAGGUUUCUAAUGAUCACGUUUGGCCCCAUUCAUCCUCCCACCUGUUCCCUUACAAACCUCCUGCCAGAAAACCUGUUUUGUAACCCCAAGUAACUCACAUGAAUUAAGUCCCAGAAGUUUUGGUGCCUCUAACUUUCCUGAUUUGGACUCUGAUUUCCAAAGUAUAACCCUUUCUCUGCCAUAGGGUGUAACAAGCUCACGCUGCUCUAGGAAAAGCAAGCUGCUCCAUACUGCAGCUGCAAGGAAAUGCAAAACGGUGAUAUAGGGCAAAACCUUCUAGAUUCUUCCUUUCUGCCCAGGGGCUAAAGCAGAUAAAUGUCCCAUCUUCUAUAGCCCCUGCUUGCCCCAGAAGCAAAAUUCCUAAGCUAAUUUACAGACUCUUAUGCCCAACAUUGUAUGCACAGGUCUAAUCACAUGGGGUUUUUAUUUUAUCAGCCAAAAAAAAGCAACUUUCAAAGGUGGGAGUCCCAAGAGCAAUGUCACCUAAUGGAAGAAAUGGAUUGGUUUGCUAGUAGGUAGAUUAACCUUAAACUGUCCUCUAAACCACUCACAUUUAUUUUUGACCUACAGGCGCAUUGACAUAUGUAGAAUGCUAUAAGGGGACACAGGGAGCAGAUACUUGAGAAAAGUGUCCAGAUGCAUUUAAACACUUUUAAAAUUGAAAAAUGACUGAAUGGCCCCAAAGCAUUUUAAAAAUCCACCAACUGGAUGCUUUUAUAUUUCUUCGUACACCUGGCUCAAUGCAAGUGAUACUAGUUUUAUUUUUCACUGUGAACUUCUAAUCAUUGUAAGCCAUAUGUGUAUUUUUUCAUCAGAGAUGCAUGCACAGAAUAGAAAAGGUGAAUAGACUGACUGAGUUCUCCAGCUACUUAGGUUUGUGCCUGCCACAAGGGCUGAAUAACUCCCAAGAGUUCUGUGUAGCUAUUACCUGAGAGUGAAGAUGCUUAAUGUGUCCCUGGGAGAUCUCCUUUAACGGUAGCAACUUUGUGAGAGAAUUUGCAAUUUUCGUCUGUCACAGAGCAGCUUAUCCAGAGAAGGGAGAUGUAGAAAAUCAGGGGUGGGGGUUAAUAAACAGUGAAUAUUGAA
Long non-coding RNA from Pezoporus occidentalis (night parrot), 2208 nucleotides. RefSeq lists it as uncharacterized. The transcript has 2 exons. Lineage: Eukaryota; Metazoa; Chordata; Aves; Psittaciformes; Psittacidae. The record is from RefSeq and is a predicted model, not a curated record.